AUUGAACGCUGGCGGCAUGCCUUACACAUGCAAGUCGAACGGCAGCACGGGUGCUUGCACCUGGUGGCGAGUGGCGAACGGGUGAGUAAUAUAUCGGAACGUGCCUUAGAGUGGGGGAUAACUAGUCGAAAGAUUAGCUAAUACCGCAUACGAUCUACGGAUGAAAGUGGGGGAUCGCAAGACCUCAUGCUCUUAGAGCGGCCGAUAUCUGAUUAGCUAGUUGGUGGGGUAAAAGCCUACCAAGGCGACGGUCAGUAGCUGGUCUGAGAGGACGACCAGCCACACUGGGACUGGGACACGGCCCAGACUCCUACGGGAGGCAGCAGUGGGGAAUUUUGGACAAUGGGGGCAACCCUGAUCCAGCAAUGCCGCGUGAGUGAAGAAGGCCUUCGGGUUGUAAAGCUCUUUUGUCAGGAAAGAAAUCCUAUUCGCUAAUACCGAGUGGGGAUGACGGUACCUGAAGAAUAAGCGCCGGCUAACUACGUGCCAGCAGCCGCCGUAA
This 502-nucleotide ribosomal RNA is filed under the name uncultured bacterium. RNAcentral describes it as "partial 16S ribosomal RNA". It matches the Rfam family "Bacterial small subunit ribosomal RNA", at positions 30 to 523 of the family's 1533-position model. The record is from RNAcentral.